GUGCCAGCAGCCGCGGUAAUACGUAGGAUCCGAGCGUUAUCCGAAUUUACUGGGCGUAAAGCGUGUGUAGGCGGUUUGAUAAGUUGGAUGUGAAAGCUCCCGGCUCAACUGGGAGAGGCCGUUCAAAACUAUCAGACUAGAGGACGGUAGAGGAAGGUAGAAUUCCCGGUGUAGUAGUGAAAUGCGUAGAUAUCGGGAGGAAUACCAGUGGCGAAGGCGGCCUUCUGGACCGUUCCUGACGCUCAGACACGAAAGCUAGGGGAGCGAACGGGAUUAGAUACCCCCGUAGUCC
RNAcentral lists this ribosomal RNA (292 nucleotides) under uncultured bacterium. Its description in RNAcentral is "partial 16S ribosomal RNA". It matches the Rfam family "Bacterial small subunit ribosomal RNA", at positions 505 to 796 of the family's 1533-position model. The record is from RNAcentral.